Molecule: ribosomal RNA, 508 nt
Filed under: uncultured bacterium
Lineage: Bacteria
Description: partial 16S ribosomal RNA
Rfam family: Bacterial small subunit ribosomal RNA
Source: RNAcentral
GAUGAACGCUAGCUACAGGCUUAACACAUGCAAGUCGAGGGGAAACGAUAGAGAAGGCUUGCUUUUUCUAGGCGUCGACCGGCGCACGGGUGAGUAACGCGUAUCCAACCUGCCCAUCACUUGGGGAUAACCUUGCGAAAGUAAGACUAAUACCCAAUGACGUCCAUAGAAGACAUCUGAAAGGGAUUAAAGAUUUAUCGGUGAUGGAUGGGGAUGCGUCUGAUUAGCUUGUUGGCGGGGUAACGGCCCACCAAGGCGACGAUCAGUAGGGGUUCUGGGAGGAAGGUCCCCCACAUUGGAACUGAGACACGGUCCAAACUCCUACGGGAGGCAGCAGUGAGGAAUAUUGGUCAAUGGGCGAGAGCCUGAACCAGCCAAGUAGCGUGCAGGAUGACGGCCCUAUGGGUUGUAAACUGCUUUUAUAAGGGAAUAAAGUGAGCCUCGUGAGGCUUUUUGCAUGUACCUUAUGAAUAAGGACCGGCUAAUUCCGUGCCAGCCGCCGCGGUAA